CCUAACUCUCUUGCUGUGCUUUCAAGCUGAACAUAUGUUUUCAAUUAUUAACAUGAUUAAUGGGAAUGAGGUGACUUGAAUCCCAAUGAACUCUAUCCUACCAUUGCAUGCAAAGUCCACAAUAUGGUAAUGUUUAUGCAGUGUGGAAGUGCACUAUUUGCUCCACUGAGAGGGCUCUUCAGAGGUACAGGUGCCUAACCCUCAGCAAAUUUAGAGAUCCACCAUUAAAGCUACUUGCUGUAUAAGUUCCUGGGCAGCUCUUUGGACCAUGACCUGCUCAUGAGAACCCAUGUCCCGAUGGCUCCUGCUUCUGCCUCUCCAGGAGAGGGCAUGGAAAUUGCCAUACAGGAGCCAGUUCAUACAGUACUGUCCUUGUCUGGUCUGGGUUUUGGUCAGGAACCCCAGAAGAGCUGGAAGACGCGAAACCAUCUUCCUCCCAUCAUCAUCUGGGACAGACUCCAGGAUUCAUAAGUCUCCAGUUCAGCUGAGACUCUCCCACUGUUUCAUGGGGACUCUAAACCUACCUGUCCCUUCUUGGCAGGCAAGUUUUAAUAAGCUGCCAAAUCCAGAAUUCAUCCAUAUACUUGGACCAGUUUUUCCUCCAUCAGUUAAGUAUUGGUCUAAUUCCUUCUGACAUAAAUACAUAUGUCACUCACACAAAAUCUGAAAUUCUCUCUCUGGAAGUGAGUCAUUCAGCCCCUCACAAACAGAAAAAAAAUGUUGGGUAGAAGCACGGUUGUACAGGAUAAAUGUAUUUGCUGAAGGUCCAAGCCAGAAAUGAACGGAUGAACACCCUCCUUCAGAUCAACAGAAACAAAGCUGUGCCAUGAGCGCUGGAACUGCUGAAGACAGCCAGUCCCAUCACCUUGGGUCUGGUGGCUGAAUGAAUGUUCUCAUUUAAACUUUCCUAGCAUUGCUAGACUUUUAAGUUUGCUGUCUCUUGCAGACUCUGUGGGUUAAGAUGAGGAUAAGUUCAUAUUACAUCCUUUACGUCAGCAUGAUACAAAUAGGGACUUUCUCCUCUGUCUGCAUGCCUAUUUUCAUGGAUUCAGUAAGAAAUAAGUUAGCUCCAGGUGUGGCUGAAGCUGCUAAAAAGGUUUGGGACUACAAGGAGAGCAAGCAUGCAGAAAGAGAUGAUCUCAUAAAUCAUUAUUUCAAUGGGAAAUGUGACUAAAAAUUGCUAUACAGUGCAAGUGCAGAUGGCUUUUUUGCAGUACCAGCAGUGUGCAUGUGUAUAUGCAGAUAUACAGUAUCAGUUAGCAUUGAGAAGCUGCAUGACUAAAUCUCCUUUUCAGUUUUGAAAUAUUCUCUCUCUAUAUGUACGUAUGGGUAUAUACACAUACAUAUAAAUGACAUAUCUUCCUGACUGUCUCUAUGCACGUGUGUGUAUAUGCAUGCAUUUUUCUGUCAAAGCACUACAUACAUAUUUAGGCAGUGUACAGCAUUGUUAGAAUAGGCUGGUAUGUGAUUACUUGUCCUACUGCACUUCAGACACAGGCUUGUGCUUCUCUGAUUUACCAAAUCAAACAAGUAGGCUGCAUAUUAGGACUCAUAAAUUCAACCACUGAAAAGAGGAAGUUGUGCGUAUUAUUGCAUGUAUGCGAUAGGUGAUUUGCAGUCAUACAAAUUUUGCACACAUUCAGGCAGCAGACAGCUGCAUAAUGCAAAAGCAGUAAAACCAUCCUGGCUAAGGACAUAAUGGCCACAAUGAUUACCACAAUCUCAGUACCCACAUGCUAAGGGACAAAGUCACCUGUACAUUUUACCUCUUUCUGUGAGUAAUUUUACUGUUAGCAAGCGCAAAAAAUCAUGUUAGACGAAUGAUCUGAGAGUGCUUGCGGGUGGAAUUUCCAUGUGUGACUGUAGCUGGGAUCUGUACAAAUAAAAACUUGCCUGCUAAUAACCCGCGAGUUCCCAGACCAUAAAAUACUUAUAAUUGAA
Long non-coding RNA from Oxyura jamaicensis (ruddy duck), 1941 nucleotides. RefSeq lists it as uncharacterized. The transcript is spliced from 2 exons. Lineage: Eukaryota; Metazoa; Chordata; Aves; Anseriformes; Anatidae. The record is from RefSeq and is a predicted model, not a curated record.